UUUACGCCCACGUUCGCUGCCUCACCUUACCUCACCCUUCUCUCUCUCUCUCUCUCUCUCUCUCUAAACUUGAAACGAAACCUCGCCACUGCAACGAACACAACCACUUCCUAGUGCUUCCAAUUCCUCACUCAUCACGGAACUCUCACGUUGUACUGUUUGGAUCUGUCUGUCAUUAAAUGUGCCCCUGAAAGAGUUUUUCAGCACAGCAAACUUCCGUUUAUUAAAGAAACGGUGUUUCGGCAAUGCACCGCGUGGGUAGUGCUGGUAAUGGAAACAGUUCAACUCGUCCUCGCAAGGAGAAGAGAUUAACCUACGUGUUGAAUGAUUCUGACGACACUAAGCAUUGUGCAGGCAUAAAUUGUCUGGCUCUACUUACAUCUGUGGCAUCUGAUGUGUCUGAUUAUCUCUUCACUGGGAGUCGUGAUGGCAGGCUAAAACGAUGGGUAUUAGAUGUGGAUAGAGCAACAUGCUCGGCUACCUUUGAAUCUCAUGUUGAUUGGGUUAAUGAUACUGUUCUUGUUGGUGAUAGUACACUCGUUUCUUGUUCUUCAGAUACAACCAUAAAGCUAUGGAAUGCCUCGUCCUUUGGAACUUGUACAAGGACUCUACGACAACACUCUGACUAUGUUACUUGCCUUGCAGCGGCAGGAAAGAAUAGCAAUGUUGUUGCCUCUGGUGGCCUUGGUGGGGAGGUUUUUAUAUGGGAUAUUGAGUCUGCCCUUGCUCCAACCUCUAAGAGUAGUGAUGCUACGGGGGAUGAAUCUUCAAAUGGUAUCAAUGGUUCUGGCAACUUACUACCAUUGACAAGCUUGCGUACCAACUCAAAUGACAAUAUGUCUGUGCACACUACUCAAAGUCAGGGAUAUAGUCCAAUUUCAGCCAAAGGCCAUAAAGAUUCUGUUUAUGCUUUGGCUAUGAAUGAAAGUGGAACAAUUCUUGUCUCUGGAGGCACAGAAAAGGUUGUUCGUGUCUGGGACACAAGGACAGGAUCAAAGACUCUAAAGCUAAGAGGGCAUACUGAUAACAUCCGGGCUCUGCUUCUGGAUUCUAGCGGCAGAUAUUGUUUAUCAGGAUCUUCAGACUCUAUGAUAAGGCUUUGGGAUAUCGGUCAGCAAAGAUGUGUGCAUUCUUAUGCUGUUCAUACAGAUUCUGUCUGGGCACUUGCCAGCACCCCAACAUUUAGUCAUGUUUAUAGUGGAGGGAGAGACUUUUCCUUAUACUUGACAGAUUUGCAAACUAGAGAGAGUAGUUUGGUCUGCACGGGCGAGCACCCUAUUCUUCAAUUGGCUUUGCAUGAUGAUAGCAUAUGGGUUGCAUCAACAGACUCUUCAGUUCGCAGAUGGCAUGCUGAAGGAUGCAACCCUGAAAAGAUUUUCCAGAGCGGCAAUUCCUUUUUAGCAGGAAACUUGUCUUUUUCAAGAGCAAGAGUGUCUCUAGAAGGAUCUACCCCUGUUCCUGUAUAUAAAGAACCUACCUUAACUAUCUUGGGUACACCUGCAAUAGUACAACAUGAAGUUUUGAAUAAUAAGAGGCAUGUGCUGACGAAGGAUGCUUCUGGUUCAGUAAAGCUAUGGGAGAUUACCAAAGGUGCUGUGAUUGAAGAUUACGGAAAGGUUUCAUUUGAGGAGAAAAAGGAAGAGCUAUUUGAGAUGGUUAGCAUUCCUGCAUGGUUUACAGUGGAUACCAGGCUUGGAAGUUUGUCUGUUCAUUUAGACACUCCCCAAUGUUUUUCCGCAGAGAUGUAUUCAGCAGAUCUUAACAUUGUAGGCAAGCCUGAAGAUGAUAAGGUUAAUUUGGCUCGAGAAACCCUUAAAGGAUUACUUGCUCCUUGGUUGAGAAAACGAAAGCAAAGAUCGGGCUCCUCAGCUCCAGCUAAUGGGGAGUUAUUAUCUGGAAAGGAUACUGCUUCAAGAAGUAGUACCCAUUCAAGAGUUGAGGUUGAUGGUAGUUCUGAUAAUGAUGCUAUGGUUUAUCCUCCGUUUGAAUUCUCAGUUACCUACCCGCCUUCCAUUAUUACUGAGGGCACUCAUGGAGGUCCAUGGAGGAAAAAAACUACCGAUUUAGAAGGAACCAAGGAUGAUAAAGACUUCCCCUGGUGGUGUUUGGACUGUGUUUUGAAUAAUCGGUUACCUCCCAGAGAAAAUACCAAAUGCAGUUUCUAUUUGCAACCUUGUGAAGGCUCUUCAGUCCAGAUUCUCACACAAGGGAAGCUAAGUGCCCCACGUAUAUUAAGAAUUCACAAAGUUGUUAAUUAUGUAAUAGAGAAGAUGGUGCUUGACAAACCUUUGGAUAGCUUAAACGCUGAGUCUAGUUUUUCCCCUGGUCUUACUGCGUCACAGUCACAGCAUCAAGUAGUUGGCGAUGGAUCUUUUCGAUCUGGAUUUCAGCCUUGGCAAAAGCUUAAACCUUCUAUUGAAAUAUUGUGCAACAACCAGGUGCUGUCUCCUGAAAUGAGUUUAGCCACAGUGCGAGCUUAUAUAUGGAAGAAGUCCGAUGACUUGAUUCUAAAUUAUAGACUAGUUCAAGGAAGGUGACUACAAAUUGCAUAAUGCAUUAGAGAUUGGAUUGAAGUCAGCUCUAACCAUGUCUGAAUGUUCAUUAUUGGUUUUCUUGUGAUUAUGUAAAAUACUUCUGGGCACGAAUUCUUCUUGGGUUACCUGCAUUGAUAUGUGGUAUUAUAGGAAUUUGUAAAUUUUGGGCCGUCAUCUAUCACCAAAUUUGGUGACAUUCUCUAGAGCUGCUUGGAUAGUUUUUUCUUUAGUGGAGAGUUGUUACUGUAAAUUUUGAGCUAGAUCUAGCCGGCAUGCAUGCUUCUGCUGGACACGGCAUCGUCUGCAUCUGGCAUGAAGAAGGUUUUUAUUGACUCUAUUCAGAAUUAGUAGGGGAUUCAUACUGGCAUAGUGGGGUGUUUUCAGGAAUCAGGUAGUUCAUUUAGAUGACAACAAAAACACUGUAAAUUUGAAUUGUGCGUUAAAUAUCUGGCCAUAGAAAUUUUGUUAAUUGGUAAUUGCUAAUAAUAUUAUUCUCAUUUCUUCAAA
RNA transcript from Vigna unguiculata (cowpea), 3041 nucleotides. RefSeq lists it as uncharacterized. The record is from RefSeq and is a predicted model, not a curated record. Lineage: Eukaryota; Viridiplantae; Streptophyta; Magnoliopsida; Fabales; Fabaceae.